UCUAUGCCAAAGGAGGAGCUUGAAGACUAGGUUUUUGAUAUUCUCUCAUUAUGGGCUCCCCUAUUUGGUGGAAAUCCAGAACAAGAAAUUAAGCAAAUUGGGGAUUUGACACCAAGCAUUUGAUUGCCUAGGUCAGUACUUGAAGUUGCAAAGAAAAUGCUAACAAAACCUAGUCGCAACCCUGUGGCUGCAACAGUUGAAAAAGAAGCUGGAUGGCUACUUCUAUCCUCUCUAUUAUCUUCUAUGCCAAAGGAGGAGCUUGAAGACCAGGUUUUUGAUAUUCUCUCAUUAUGGGCUCCCCUCUUUGGUGGAAAUCCAGAA
Molecule: RNA transcript, 321 nt
Organism: Manihot esculenta (cassava)
Lineage: Eukaryota; Viridiplantae; Streptophyta; Magnoliopsida; Malpighiales; Euphorbiaceae
Exons: 4
Source: RefSeq, a predicted model, not a curated record